CAGAGUGCAGAUGCUGCUAAAUUUAGGGCUAGUGCAGGUGCAUUAAAUCUAUUGGGCCAUACCAAACAUAUUUUUAAUCGCCUACCAGAUUUAAAUUUACCUCUGGGUCCCUCGGAGGUUGGUUUUCAAGCCUUACAGGCCCAUAUCAAUGCUGAUCUGAAUGUGAAGAAAGAGCAAGAUAUUUUGAAUAUUGAUCUCAACAUGACAGUACAGAAUUUGUUUGUGAAUUAUGCACCCAAUGCUGAUGAAAGCGAGCUUGUAGAUGAGAGUAUUGAAAUCGUAAAUGAAGGAGAACGUAAAAUCCAAUCUCUUGCUUUGGCACCUAUCCAGGAGAACAAGGUUCUGUCACUCAAUGAUCCGAUUCAACCUGACAAGCUGGACACUCAGCCUAAUAUCACUAAUGGUCCUUCAAAGAAUGUUGUUGUGGGCACUAGGGAGGACUCUUCUAACCCCAUGCUCGAGAUGGCUCCCCUUGGUUUCUGUA
Molecule: long non-coding RNA, 484 nt
Organism: Triticum aestivum (bread wheat)
Lineage: Eukaryota; Viridiplantae; Streptophyta; Magnoliopsida; Poales; Poaceae
Exons: 3
Source: RefSeq, a predicted model, not a curated record